This 30-nucleotide non-coding RNA is filed under the name Mus musculus (house mouse). Lineage: Eukaryota; Metazoa; Chordata; Mammalia; Rodentia; Muridae. The record is from RNAcentral.
UAAUCAGACAGUGAAUUUGUGCAUUUCAGA